This 151-nucleotide ribosomal RNA is filed under the name uncultured bacterium. Its description in RNAcentral is "partial 16S ribosomal RNA". It matches the Rfam family "Bacterial small subunit ribosomal RNA", at positions 373 to 522 of the family's 1533-position model. The record is from RNAcentral.
GGGCGCAGCUGAUCAGCCAUGCCGCGUGCAGGAUGAGGCCUUCGGGUUGUAACUGCUUUUGUACGGAACGAAAGACUCUGGUUAAUACCUGGGGUCCCAUGACGGUACCGUAAGAAUAAGCACCGGCUAACUACGUGCCAGCAGCGCGUAA